GGUAUACAAGUAACGCUCCCAUUUCAUUUCUUAUGUUAUUAUUACUUGAUUAAUUAUGAACAGUGAAAACUAAUUAAUUACAUUACUUAGGAGAUUAACAAAUAGAUUAGAAGAAACGGUAACAGUUGUUGACAGAGGUCACCGUGCCGUCCGGCUCUUGUCCAAUCUUUGUUUGUACUAACAUGAGACACGUGUCCUCGUAUCACGCCCUCUUCUGCUCCUUUCCUCACCGCUUGCGUACGCUAAUGUACACUGUUUGUAUUUAAUACAUUCACUAGGCCUAAUAGUACAAGAGAAACAGAAGAAAAAAACUAUUCUUUUUGUCAUAUACGUACAUUUUAGGUGUAAUCACUA
This is a long non-coding RNA of Arabidopsis thaliana (thale cress), 354 nucleotides long. RefSeq annotates it as other RNA. The transcript has a single exon. Lineage: Eukaryota; Viridiplantae; Streptophyta; Magnoliopsida; Brassicales; Brassicaceae. The record is from RefSeq.